This 300-nucleotide ribosomal RNA is filed under the name uncultured bacterium. RNAcentral's name for it is "bacterial SSU rRNA". It matches the Rfam family "Bacterial small subunit ribosomal RNA", at positions 1082 to 1382 of the family's 1533-position model. The record is from RNAcentral.
AAGUCCCGCAACGAGCGCAACCCUUAUCUUCAGUUGCCAUCAGGUUAUGCUGGGCACUCUGAAGAAACUGCCGGUGAUAAGCCGGAGGAAGGCGGGGAUGACGUCAAGUCCUCAUGGCCCUUAUGACCUGGGCUACACACGUGCUACAAUGGCAGUGACAAUGAGCAGCGAUAGCGCGAGCUUCAGCUAACCUCAAAAAUCUGUCUCAGUUCGGAUUGAACUCUGCAACUCGAGUUCAUGAAGUUGGAAUCGCUAGUAAUCGUAGAUCAGAAUGCUACGGUGAAUACGUUCCCGGGCCUU